GCUGGGCGCCGUGGCGCAUGCCUGUAAUCCCAGCAGCUCGGGAGGCUGAGACAGGAGGAUCAUGAGUUCAAAGCCAGCCUCCACAAAGAUGAGGGGCUAAGCAACUCAGUGAGACCCUGUCUCUA
RNAcentral lists this small RNA (125 nucleotides) under Marmota monax (woodchuck). The record is from RNAcentral. Lineage: Eukaryota; Metazoa; Chordata; Mammalia; Rodentia; Sciuridae.